UGGAAUGUUCUCGGAUGAAAGAUCCGUCGCUUCAGGAUGAGUCUGCGGCCGAUUAGGUAGUUGUUGGGGUAAAAGCCCAACAAGCCUGUAAUCGGUACGGGUUGUGGGAGCAAGAGCCCGGAGAUGGAUUCUGAGACACGAAUCCAGGCCCUACGGGGCGCAGCAGGCGCGAAAACUUUACAAUGCGGGCAACCGUGAUAAGGAAACCCCGAGUGCCACCACAGGGUGGCUGUCCACCAGUGUAAAAAACUGGUGAAGAAAGGGCCGGGCAAGACCAGUGCCAGCCGCCGCGGUAAUACCGGCGGCUCGAGUGGUGGCCGCUUUUACUGGGCUUAAAGGGUCCGUAGCUGGAUUCACAAGUCCCUUGGGAAAUCCAUCGGCUUAACUGAUGGGCGUUCAGGGGAUACUGUGGUUCUAGGGACCGGGAGAGGUGAGAGGUACUGCCGGGGUAGGAGUGAAAUCCUGUAAUCCCGGUGGGACGACCUAUGGCGAAGGCAUCUCACCAGAACGGCUCCGACAGUGAGGGACGAAAGCUGGGGGAGCAAACCGGAUUAGAUACCCGGGUAGUCCCAGCUGUAACGAUGCGCGUUAGGUGUGU
Molecule: ribosomal RNA, 598 nt
Filed under: uncultured Methanomicrobiales archaeon
Lineage: Archaea; Methanobacteriati; Methanobacteriota; Methanomicrobia; Methanomicrobiales
Description: bacterial SSU rRNA
Rfam family: Archaeal small subunit ribosomal RNA
Source: RNAcentral